Molecule: long non-coding RNA, 747 nt
Organism: Clarias gariepinus (North African catfish)
Lineage: Eukaryota; Metazoa; Chordata; Actinopteri; Siluriformes; Clariidae
Exons: 2
Source: RefSeq, a predicted model, not a curated record
UGUAAAUAGUGGUUGGUUGGUAAGCAGGCAUGUUAAGUGUAGGAAAAGCACCGCACCCAACCAGGAAGCACAGCAUGUAAAAUGGAGAGAAAUCUUAAGCGGCGUGUGUAGAAUCGCGCCAAAACACUUCGGUCCCAAAGGAGAAAGAAUAAAAUGAGAAGAAAGAAGAAGAAGAUUUACUCACCAGACAUUAUUGGCGUGAAGAGGAGCAGGACCCAGUGAAACAACCCAAGCGCCUGUUCUUGGCUCUAUUAUAUGGGCAAUAACGAAAUAUUGCUAAAAUUGUUACAAAGUCUCAAUCAAUCACUCUUACAACACUCUCACUAUAUACAAUUAUGCAGUAAUAUAGCCAGGAAGGCAAUAGUUUGAGUUUUUCUGCCCUCAUCCCUACUAUUUAAAGUCCCAAGAACUCAAUGAUUUGACAAUGAUUUGAUUGCGCGAUACUUUCAAUUUGAAUAUUCAAAGACUUCGCAAAAAUACUUAUAUCUUAGCGAUAUUCGCUAUUAGAACGCAUGUAAGAGCACCCCCUUUAAUAGAAUAUUACUCCAUUUCACACUUUGACAUAAAAUCAAAAUUAUAUUUUUGACAUUUUAUCACCCUUUUGAUAUUGAUGCCAAGAGGCUGGCUGUGGAGCUCUCUUUGCAUUUUACAACAUCAAUGAGCGAGCAAAUGUCAUUUCAAACAACACCCAACACUAUACAAAUGUCCUAAAGUGCAUAACUAUAUAAAUAAAUAAGAUAUAAUGUG